Molecule: long non-coding RNA, 227 nt
Filed under: Prunus persica (peach)
Lineage: Eukaryota; Viridiplantae; Streptophyta; Magnoliopsida; Rosales; Rosaceae
Description: long non-coding RNA (PPER_LNC001019)
Source: RNAcentral
UGAAAUGCAAUCUCUAAAAUUAUCCAAUACAACAACCACUCCAUUUUAGAACGAACUUCGUACGAACCUGAAUUGUCCAAUUUCUUGGACCAAUCGAUAUCGGAUUGAGUCCAAAACUUGGGGAACAUCAUAAUAUGGUGGGAGAAGUCAUUUCUAGAGUUUUGAGUGAAAUCUAAUCUCUAAAACUAUGCAAUACACCAACCACUCCAUUUUAGAACGAACUUCAC